GAACGCACAUUGCGCCCCUUGGCAUUCCGAAGGGCAUGCCUGUUCGAGCGUCAUGAUCAAAUCUCAAGCCUUGCUUGGUAUUGGGUUUUCGUCUUCCUUGUCUUUGUACGGGUAUUGACGUGCCUGAAAAUCAAUGGCGGUGCCUCAAUAGACUCAAGCGUAGCAGACUGACUCGCUUUAGAGGACUUUGUAGGUCCUGUAAAUAAAAUAACAAGUUGGACCUCGGAUCAGGUAGGGAUACCCGCUGAACUUA
This 253-nucleotide unclassified non-coding RNA is filed under the name uncultured fungus. RNAcentral's name for it is "sequence contains 5.8S rRNA gene". Lineage: Eukaryota; Fungi. The record is from RNAcentral.